Molecule: ribosomal RNA, 500 nt
Filed under: uncultured bacterium
Lineage: Bacteria
Description: partial 16S ribosomal RNA
Rfam family: Bacterial small subunit ribosomal RNA
Source: RNAcentral
AUUGAACGCGGGCGGAAUGCUUUACACAUGCAAGUCGAACGGCAGCACGGACUUCGGUCUGGUGGCGAGUGGCGAACGGGUGAGUAAUGCAUCGGAACGUGCCCAGUCGUGGGGGAUAACGUAGUGAAAAUUACGCUAAUACCGCAUACGAUCUAUGGAUGAAAGCGGGGGAUCGCAAGACCUCGCGCGAUUGGAGCGGCCGAUAUCAGAUUAGGUAGGUGGUGGGGUAAAGGCCCACCAAGCCAACGAUCUGUAGCUGGUCUGAGAGGACGACCAGCCACACUGGAACUGAGACACGGUCCAGACUCCUACGGGAGGCAGCAGUGGGGAAUUUUGGACAAUGGGCGAAAGCCUGAUCCAGCCAUUCCGCGUGCAGGAUGAAGGCCCUCGGGUUGUAAACUGCUUUUGUACAGAACGAAAAGGUUUCUACUAAUACUAGGAGCUCAUGACGGUACUGUAAGAAUAAGCACCGGCUAACUACGUGCCAGCAGCCGCAGUAA